GUGCCAGCCGCCGCGGUAAUACCGGCAGCUCAAGUGAUGGCCGAUCUUAUUGGGCCUAAAGCGUCCGUAGCUGGCCUCGCAAGUCCGUCGGGAAAUCCAGUAGCUCAACUACUGGGCGUCCGGCGGAAACUACAAGGCUUGGGACCGGAAGGCUCGAGGGGUACGUCCGGGGUAGGAGUGAAAUCCCGUAACCCCGAACGGACCACCGAUGGCGAAAGCACCUCGAGAAGACGGCUCCGACAGUGAGGGACGAAAGCUAGGGUCUCAAACCGGAUUAGAAACCCGGGUGUCC
This 292-nucleotide ribosomal RNA is filed under the name uncultured bacterium. RNAcentral's name for it is "partial 16S ribosomal RNA". It matches the Rfam family "Archaeal small subunit ribosomal RNA", at positions 455 to 747 of the family's 1478-position model. The record is from RNAcentral.